UACAGAGGUCUCAAGCGUUGUUCGGAUUCAUUGGGCGUAAAGGGUGCGUAGGCGGCGGGGUAAGUCAGGUGUGAAAUCUCGGAGCUCAACUCCGAAACUGCAUUUGAUACUGCCUUGCUUGAGUAUUGGAGAGGAGAUUGGAAUUUACGGUGUAGCAGUGAAAUGCGUAGAUAUCGUAAGGAAGACCAGUGGCGAAGGCGGGUCUCUGGACAGUUCCUGACGCUGAGGCGCGAAAGCCAGGGGAGCAAACGGG
Molecule: ribosomal RNA, 253 nt
Filed under: uncultured bacterium
Lineage: Bacteria
Description: partial 16S ribosomal RNA
Rfam family: Bacterial small subunit ribosomal RNA
Source: RNAcentral